AUAGGGCUGGCAAAUGAGCGAACCGGCUCGUGUUCGACUCGCGUUCGACUCGAUAUUUGGCUCGCUCGAGUUUGACUCGAAAUUAAAUGAGCCUUGAAUUAAAAAAAAGGCUCGAAAUUCAUUUCAAGCCAAUCUUAAGUAUUACUUGGCUUGUUCGAAUUAGGCUUGAAAAGCUUGAAAAACUCAAAUAUAUAUAUAUAGUAGAGCUACUAUGCUAUCGAAAGUAUAAAGGAUCUGGUGAUUUCUAUUUUUUGAUUCUUAGAUCAAUCCCUUUAAUCAUUUCUUAUCUUUGGAUUAGUACUAUCAUUACCUUGUAGGGACCACUCAAUACUAAAAAUAUUAUUUAAUCCUAGGGGACCGCAAUCAUCCCAACCAUACAAUUCUUAAUCAAAAGGUCAAAAAUUGGAAAACAUCAAAUCCUCUAUAUUUUCGAUAGCAUAGUUCUACACUAUAUAUAUAUAUAGUCCGGCUACUAUGCUAUCGGUAGCACGGAGCGCUCCGUGCUACCGAGUUGUUUUCGAUGAUGCAGCUUCUGAAUCGACGAUCGGCUCCGUUAAACUUCAUCUACACUAUUGAAAGUAUUUGCAAACUAAAUUUAAAAUUUUUUCGACAUCAUUUGACUAGUGAUCAAAAGAUCUCAAAAUUGACAAUUUUAAUGGCCGAUGUAGUGUGUUUGUGAGUUUAACCGGUGUAAAACAACCAAAUGCGAUAAAAAUUUUAUAGAAAAUUUUUUUCACUAUUUAGAGUAAGAUCAGUAUAUCUGAUCUUGAAUUUAAAUCUUUUAUCAUCAUUUUUUAUGA
RNAcentral lists this long non-coding RNA (800 nucleotides) under Ananas comosus (pineapple). RNAcentral describes it as "long non-coding RNA (ACOM_LNC019756)". Lineage: Eukaryota; Viridiplantae; Streptophyta; Magnoliopsida; Poales; Bromeliaceae. The record is from RNAcentral.